UUACGGCCAUAACACGUUCAAACACUGGUUCUCAUACGAUCACCGUUAAGUUAAACAACGCCGUACCUAGUCAGUAUCUUGAUGGGUGACCGCUUGGGAAUACCAAGUGCUGUAAGC
Acanthosepion pharaonis is the source of this 117-nucleotide non-coding RNA. The record is from the annotation of a GenBank genome assembly. Lineage: Eukaryota; Metazoa; Mollusca; Cephalopoda; Sepiida; Sepiidae.